GAUGAAGAACGUAGCGAAAUGCGAUAAGUAAUGUGAAUUGCAGAAUUCAGUGAAUCAUCGAAUCUUUGAACGCACAUUGCGCCCGCCAGCAUUCUGGCGGGCAUGCCUGUUCGAGCGUCAUUUCAACCCUCGAGCCCCCCCGGGGGCCUCGGUGUUGGGGGACGGCACACCAGCCGCCCCCGAAAUGCAGUGGCGACCCCGCCGCAGCCUCCCCUGCGUAGUAGCACACACCUCGCACCGGAGCGCGGAGGCGGUCACGCCGUAAAACGCCCAACUUUCUUAGAGUUGACCUCGGAUCAGGUAGGAAUACCCGCUGAACUUAAGCAUAUCAAUAAGCGGAGGG
RNAcentral lists this unclassified non-coding RNA (343 nucleotides) under soil metagenome. Its description in RNAcentral is "partial contains 5.8S ribosomal RNA, internal transcribed spacer 2, and large subunit ribosomal RNA". The stretch from base 1 to 120 matches the Rfam family "5.8S ribosomal RNA", at positions 35 to 154 of the family's 154-position model. The record is from RNAcentral.